RNAcentral lists this ribosomal RNA (468 nucleotides) under uncultured bacterium. RNAcentral describes it as "partial 16S ribosomal RNA". It matches the Rfam family "Bacterial small subunit ribosomal RNA", at positions 28 to 507 of the family's 1533-position model. The record is from RNAcentral.
GACGAACGCUGGCGGCGCGCCUAACACAUGCAAGUCGAACGGAGUCAAGAGGAGCUUGCUUUUCUUGACUUAGUGGCGAACGGGUGAGUAACGCGUGAGUAACCUGCCCUGGAUUGGGGGACAAUAGUUGGAAACGACUGCUAAUACCGCAUAAGCUCACGGAUCCGCAUGGAUCUGCGGGAAAAGGAUUUAUUCGCUUCAGGAUGGACUCGCGUCCAAUUAGCUAGUUGGUGAGGUAACGGCCCACCAAGGCGACGAUUGGUAGCCGGACUGAGAGGUUGAACGGCCACAAUGGGACUGAGACACGGCCCAGACUCCUACGGAAGGCAGCAGUGGGGGAUAUUGCACAAUGGGGGAAACCCUGAUGCAGCGACGCCGCGUGGAGGAAGAAGGUUUUCGGAUUGUAAACUCCUGUCGUAAGAGACGAUAAUGACGGUACCUAACAAGAAAGCACCGGCUAACUACGUG